Non-coding RNA from Coniochaeta pulveracea, 89 nucleotides. The record is from the annotation of a GenBank genome assembly. NCBI's taxonomy places the organism in Eukaryota, Fungi, Ascomycota, Sordariomycetes, Coniochaetales, Coniochaetaceae.
GGGCGAGUAGUCUAGGGGUUAUGAUUUCUGCUUUGCACUCGAAUAAGAGUAAUUGCAGAGGGUCCCGCGUUCAAAUCGCGGCUCGUCCA